UUCGAUCGAGCUCCAGCAGUCGAGCGGUACAGAUCCAGCUUGCUGGAUGCUGACGAGCGGCGGACGGGUGAGUAAUGCAUAGGAAUCUGCCCGAUAGUGGGGGAUAACCUGGGGAAACCCAGGCUAAUACCGCAUACGUCCUACGGGAGAAAGGGGGCUUCGGCUCCCGCUAUCGGAUGAGCCUAUGUCGGAUUAGCUAGUUGGUGAGGUAACGGCUCACCAAGGCCACGAUCCGUAGCUGGUCUGAGAGGAUGAUCAGCCACAUCGGGACUGAGACACGGCCCGAACUCCUACGGGAGGCAGCAGUGGGGAAUAUUGGACAAUGGGGGGAACCCUGAUCCAGCCAUGCCGCGUGUGUGAAGAAGGCCCUCGGGUUGUAAAGCACUUUCAGCGAGGAAGAACGCCUAGCGGUUAAUACCCGCUAGGAAAGACAUCACUCGCAGAAGAAGCACCGGCUAACUCCGUGCCAGCAGCCGCGGUAAUACGGAGGGUGCAAGCGUUAAUCGGAAUUACUGGGCGUAAAGCGCGCGUAGGUGGCUUGAUAAGCCGGUUGUGAAAGCCCCGGGCUCAACCUGGGAACGGCAUCCGGAACUGUCAAGCUAGAGUGCAGGAGAGGAAGGUAGAAUUCCCGGUGUAGCGGUGAAAUGCGUAGAGAUCGGGAGGAAUACCAGUGGCGAAGGCGGCCUUCUGGACUGACACUGACACUGAGGUGCGAAAGCGUGGGUAGCAAACAGGAUUAGAUACCCUUGGUAGUCA
RNAcentral lists this ribosomal RNA (756 nucleotides) under Halomonas sp. RNAcentral describes it as "bacterial SSU rRNA". It matches the Rfam family "Bacterial small subunit ribosomal RNA", at positions 43 to 796 of the family's 1533-position model. The record is from RNAcentral. Lineage: Bacteria; Pseudomonadati; Pseudomonadota; Gammaproteobacteria; Oceanospirillales; Halomonadaceae.